UAUUGAUUAAAUGCAUAGAAUAUAAUAACUCCUUCCACCGAGCCACGCCUCAGAAAUUAGCUAGUCACCCUACAUUGCGGUUUGCGGAGGAAAUUCUCCUGCAGAAGUCAUCCUCUCAAUAAUUUUUGAAGGAGUAAUACGCAAAGAUAUAAGAGACUGACAAAGGCAAAAACAACUCCAAUAGCUCCGAAGUAUUGCAGAGGAUCAAGAUUGAACGAUAUCUGGAUUCUACGUCCAAAAAAGAUAUAUGGAUUUCAACUAAGCUUAAUAUGAUCAUUAAACAUUUGACGUCCAAAAUGAAACGAUCUUCCAUUGGUACUUCCUGUUUUUCUUCAAAUCCGACGAUUCGUUCUACUUGGAUAGUAGAAAUGUCGGAACGUCAACAAGUGUAGGAAAUGGAAACGUGUACCUCUUCAGUCUUAUAUUUCAAUGAGAUUUUAUCAUGGCGACGAGAAUAUUUCUAUUGAUAAGCUUCAUUGAAGCAUAUUGAAGAAGAAGAGUGUUUCAAGAGGCAGUUGAAAAUUAUAGCAAAGGAAGGAACAAUGUUAGCUAUUGUUCAUGUAUGCUUUAUGUGAUUGUGAAUACCUAGGAAGAGGAAAAAGAAGAAAAUACGAACGUGCUUGAUGAUGAAGUUUCGAAAGACCAAUAUGUUGCUGUUUUAUAAAGCUUGGAACAAGGGUACGAAGAAAUUGGAGGGAUUUAUCUUCUUUAAAGCAUCUAACCGUGAGCAGAUUUAGCUAGAGGGUAUAUUCGAGUGUGCUCAAAAAGAUUUGUCGAUGAGGCGUCCGACGGUCCACGCGGGGUUAGGAUCACAGGGGAAUUAUAAUGAAACUGAGGGACGUUUAUCAUACAAAAUGAUUGAACAGACAGGGACGAUCAAAAGGUUCAUCUUUUUUCAAAGUAAUACCAUUAGCAGGGGAAUACUUUUAAAUUAUACGUGAAAUAGAAAGUCCACGUCACUUCAUUGUUAUUCCAUCGAUUUAAAUUAAAUAACCAUUCGAUAUAAUUAGAAAGGGAGAAGUAUUGAAUUCUAUAUUUCAAACUGUUUUCCGUAAUAUUCACGACAUAUACAUAAAAAAUAGUCGUAAUACUUAAUUAGAGUUUUUCUUAAAUAUUGAUAUUUGGAUGAAAUAAUUUGGUGCGUAACGUUAAUUAUCCAUUUAGUAUGUUAUGAAAGGAAUUUCGUGAUAGUGGAUGUCCGUAAUACGUUCUCCCAUAUUUAUCGUCAAGUACGUUCGUGUAAACCUUUCUCUAUUAUCUCUCUCCAUGUACGUGUGCUCUUUUGCGCGUCUAUCGGCAUCGGGUCGAGUGGUUUGCAUUGAAUGUGCGUGUGUACGUAGAACUCCUGCCUUAUUUUGAUAAUAAGGAAGGUAUUUUUUCAUUUGUUUUCCUGUCAUCAAACCAAGCAAACAAUAGGAGAUUGGCUGUAUAAUUCAAUGACCUAUUUAGAUUCAUUGUUUGAUAACAAGCUUACUUAUUUUGCAGAACAAUAGCCUAUUUUUUUAGGAACCAAUUGAUUUGGAACCUUAUAAACGAUAUAUUAGAUAAUUAGAAGUGUAAUGGUAUUAUUGUUUUGCAUUCACCAAUAGGGAGUAACUUUCCGGAACAAUUUAUCCGUUCAUAUUGAAGAAUCAUACCAGCCGUGGUAUAUCGAUCCGCUAAAGACAAAUGAAAUCAUACAGCUAAAUAGAUAAUUGAAUUAUACCGCUAAUCGUAUUAUCGGAUUGUCUGCUUGGUUUGAUGAGGGGAGAACUAAUGAAAAAAUACCAUCCUUGUUUUCAAAAUGAGUGAGGAGAUUUACGCAAACACGCGCACUCUCUUCCGUCCACUUGACUGGAACACGUAAACGCGCAUGUGCACGGAGAGAGGUAGUAAUAAAUCGUUCAAUAUGAUGGUGCUGAACGAUAGGUAGGAGAGAAGGUAUUCCUCAACAAGCAAAUCGUUAAAUGCCGAUCAAUACUUGUUAACAGGGGAAUUUGUAGGCAUGGAGAAUCAUAUAUUUUUGCAGAAAAAUCACAAUUUUGUCCAUUAUAAUUUUCCAUGAUGUCUGUGAUAAAUGUUGAAUCAAUUCUUUUCCAACAUUAUCAUCGCUCGCAUUAUGCGUGAGGUCUUUCCGUUUUUUUGUUGGAUGUAAUGACUAUCACUCCUAUCGUUUUCUUCCCGAUUUUUUUUUUUUUUUCUAAGAUGUCUGUAUUAAUGUUUGUCUUGAAGCCAAAAUUCCCCUUCGAUAUUACUUAUAGCACGAAACUUACUCGUGUUUGGAAAUUUUGCCAUUCUCUUAAUGAAAAAGAUAUGAGUAAGUAAACAGGUUGGAAGACUGAAAUUGUAUAUUACGAAAUCACGAAACGAUAUAUACCAAAGGAAUAUUACGUUUCUGAUUUUUUGGCUUAUUAGUGUAGGGAACUAUCUGUUUCACUAGAAAUUUCAAUACGACACGAGUUCAGCUUCGCAAAUCUCCCCUCAGUUUCAUGAUUGCUUGUUUACUCCAUCAAAUAUCAUUGCAUGGUACGAAGCGUACUCGCGUACGAUUGCAGACAAGUCCUUAUCGCUCUCUUUAAGUGGUUUAUAGAAGCCCUCAGACCGUUGUGAACGUACUUCUUUUUCAUAAAAUCGACUGACAUUCUUUUCGUAUAACUUGGUAAUUUGACCAUUUCUGUUUUAACUAACUGAGUGUUUCUCUCGAAGGGGAAAUACGGGAAAGAGGGGAAGGUAAUAUUAGGAAACCAUAAAUGUGACGAAAGAUUUUCUCCGAAUUCGUUUUUUAUUAUUAUGGAAUAGCGAAAAUGCUAUCUUCGAUAACUUGAGCAAUAUGCAUUUGUUUACAAGAAAAGGAAAUAAUAUUUGGAGAAAAUGUUUUCAUGCAAUAUGGCAGUAGAUAUAACUUCCGACGAAAAAAUUUUUUAAGAGAGAUGAUUUUACUAUAAGAAUUAUAUAGUAUAUACGUAGUACGAAAAUUGAUAGUGAUAUCAUUAUGAAUAAUAGAAUACUGAUAAUAGAAUACCAUUAAGCAUAAGUCAGACUUACGAAAAAAAUAACAGUGCGAUUUUCCUAUAUUAAUAUUCGAUUAACUUCAUAAGAAUUAGUCGUCAUAAUUACAAUAAUUAUUAUUCUAAUAAUUAAUUAUAUUAUAAAUAAUUACAGUUUUAUGUGAUUCUUUCAAUUAAAAAAUAGACGAAUUAUUGUAAGAUUCUCAUUAGGAAAUUCCAUGAUAUAUUACACAGAUAAUUUCGCAUGAACAUAGAGUAUAUAUACAUAUAAUUACAUAACUAUAGGAGUGGCGAAAUUAUUUAUCCCCAUGCGUUCUAGUUAGAGAAUUAGAUUUUAGGAAGCUUGGUCUUCUAUCCAGCUAACAUGUGGCUAAUUAAACUAGGUUAAGUUAUUCCUUCCGGGAUUUGCGACCCAGUCAUACGCAAGUGUGUCUCAUACGCGAAAUAAUCCCUAGCUAUCAUACAUGUCAAAACCAGUUUUACAAAUGACAGAAACGAUUGAAACACCUUUAUCACUAAUCAUUCCAUUAUUCCAUUAAUAUUCAUUAAAUUUGACAUUAUAUUUGUAUAAGAUUUAUUAAAAGAUUUCAUUUCCAUAUUAUAGUACUUAUCGGAUAAUUACUCCCAUUUGGGAUUCGUACCAUUUAGAAUAUUUGAGAUAAAUUCACUUAUAAAUAAUAAUACUUUCUUCGACUGCAUAUAAUCUACGAAAGUAUUCUAUAAAUUAUUAUAAAAUGGAUAAAUAUGUUAUAGACUUUAUAUUCGACAUUACAUUUUAGAACAAAAAAUUUAUCAUAUCUCUAAAAUAUCUUACCAUUAAAUAAACACAGCGUUGAUUGUUUUUCCAUUUAAAAGCAAUUUUAAAAAGGAAAAUGUGUUCAUAUAGUAAUCUUAUUGUUUUUCUGGUAUUUGUACUAUCCAUGUUGUACAAUCGUAUCGUCGUAUGUACGUAAGAAUAGAUAGAAUCAAUGUGAUUGCUUUUCACUUUGGAUGUGCAAUGUUAUAUUAUCUGGUGGAGCGUUGUUUUUCUUUGGAAUUACAAUUCAAAUAUAAAUCAAUUCGGCUCCUUUGCAAUACCUCCAGGCUAUCGGAACUGUUUUCGUCUUCGGUUGGUUUAGUAUAUCUCUGAAACAAUAUAAGAUUCGUAGAUUAGUUAAGACUUACGGAAGCCAUUCUAUUGUUCAUCUAAUUGUAUUGUACUCAAAAAUAAAUUUUGUUACAUCCUUACAUGUGAUAUAAAGUACCUUUUCCGAAAGGCAACAAAUAUUAAUUAAGAUUGUAUUGAUCACGAAAAUCAGUUUCAUUUCCAUAAUACAAAAUUGAAAUUUUAUAAUAAAUCACGAACUUACGAUUACUAACAAAUUUACCUUGUAUUGAUAGCUUAAACAAAUGACUAGUAAGAAUGAAGAAAUUGCUUCAAACGCCUGAAUACUUAUAUAACCGAUCUCUGGGACGUAUGAAGUAUGCACGAACGAAUAUUUGUUUUACCACACUCGCCCGUGUAUUACUAGAUCGACAACUACCGAAUGAAUGACCUAUAGCUUCAUCGCCGUCCUCCGAACGGCGGUAUUUAUACCCCGCACAACGCUUUGGGUUGUUAACCGAGCGAAAACGAUGGCACCCUCUGCACAGGGUUAUUACACUUGGCGUAGAUUAAUCAAUAUAUCGAAAAAACCAAAAUGCUGAUAAGUUACGUGGAAAUGAAUUUCUCUAUUGAUCUCUAUUAAUUGGGUGUAUCAUUAUCCUUUUUCUUCUAUGCUCUUCUGUCGUUUGUUUUCUCCCUUCCUUCUCUUUACAAUUUGCAAUUAGAAAUUAAUUAAAGAAUUCUGAAAAUUGUCAAUUAUGUUUCUUCCUGUUUUUGUCGUUAAAAAUAUUUAUGAAUAAGAAUCGAUCUGGAGCAAAGAAUAUUGUUUGACAAUUUUUUUUGUUAUAUCACUUUCUGUUCUUUUUCUAUUAUUGAAGAUAACAAUCUCUUUUUUACACAUCUGUGUUUUUUUAUAUUGCAUUAGUAAAGAGUAUUGAUUCAUACAAAAUCAUUUGUCACUUUUUUUUUCCUAAUAUCAUCUUUAUCUCUUCUACGUAUUUUAUUUGGUCACCAUUUACGUAAGUCAAUCAAAAUUUCCUAUUACGCGAUUGAACGACUCGGAAAGGCUUAAUUGGAUAUGGAUUGGGGGGAAAUGAAUUUCUCGAUGAAGAUAGAUUUACCGACAGAUAGAUUUAUUGAAGGGUCGUCCGACGUUGCACGAGGAACGUCGAUCAUAGAGUCUUGAAAUGAACCUGAGGGUGGUAUAUUUUGCAAAAUGAUUCAACACGUAGGGACGAUAAAAAGCUCUACCGUUGUUCGGGAGCUCGAAUUCUCAUGGAAAGAUUCAUUCGAGGUAAAUGAUUUUCAAGUAAUACGUUUUCCCAUACUUAGCUUCAAAUACGUUCAUACUGAACGUAUUAUUAUUAUCUCUCUUCAUCCAUGUGUGUACAUUCGCGCCAGCGUAGCGUUUUCAAGUGCACUUCCUCUUGGGUAUAUUAUUGUAUAAUGUUGAACAGAAAUGAAAAUAUAGUUAGAGUUACCCGAUUUCGAACAUGUUUGUUUAUACAUUUAUGGGAUUUAAUCGUAUGAUCGUAUGUGGAGCCAAUCGUUGUGUAGCUGUUGCAUCUUCCAUGAUAUUAUACCGUGUUUGCUCUACCUAAGAUACUGCCUAUUGACGAGUCCAAUAUGUCCGUUGAUUUUUUUGGUUGAUACUAGUUGAAUUGCUGGCUUGUCGGUCAGUUGUAAUAAAGAUACAUGAUCUCUUAGAAUCGAGAUUCAUGAUUCAAUGAGGACGAGAAUACAAAGAGAAAAACGGAGAAACAAUUUGUCUUCGAGGGAUACAUACCGCCAAUUGAACCGGUAUCGUUUGUUUUUGUGAUUAAUCCUAUUAGUUUUCGUUUUUUGAUUAUCAUACUUUCCGCUUGCUUGAAGCGAAGGUCCGUUCCAGAGAGUUUCAAGUAGAUUUGGACAUAUUUUUCUGAUAGAGAUAAAAUUCUGAAUGUUGACCCAAAUAUUUAAAUAUAUAGUUAGGACUCUUAGAAAGUAUACUAAAAGAUUAAUUGAACGUUUUAAAUAUCUUCGGAAGAUUCUGAAGUAUGUUUAACAAAAAUAUAAUAUCAAAGAGGUUGAAAUAUUUUAAGGAUUACUAUUUUUCCAUGCUAACGUGAAAAUCGUUUAAUUGUAAUAACUAUAAUGCAUUAGGAAAUAGCAAUUUAAAAGUACUCGAGUCUUCUCUUUGACAUGUUGACAUUAUUUUUCGAGAAAUGAGACCUAUGUUGAAAUGUGAUUUACACGAAAUAUUUAUUUAUUAUUCGUUUCCUGGAAAACAAAUAAGGUCAAUCGAGGAGGAUUUGGCUUGUUCUGACGAGAAGAAAAGAAAUGAAAAAAUACAAUCCUCUUUAUCAAAAUAAGGGAGGAGAUAUACGGACGCAAGCCCACAGUACCGCGCGCGUAUUCCCGCCCACAUGGCCUAGUGCGCAUGAGUGAACACUCGAGCACUGGUGCAUGGAGAGGGGUAAAUAGAAAUCGUUUAAGCCGAAGGUACUUGACGAUACGUAUGGAAGAACGCAAUGCGCUCAUGUAUUUUCAUUAAAUCCCAAUCGAAAUGUAUUUCAACUACGUAAUAAAUUAAUUCGUCCAAAUACUACAAUGAAAAACCUCCGUUACUGAUUAUUUUUAAUAACAUGACCUGAAUAUUCUGACAAAUAAUUUGGAACAUUGAACAAUAUACUUCUUCCCCCUUUAAAUUAUGUUGAAUAAUUAUUUAAGCUGAUGGUAUAACGAUGACACGAUAGAUGGACGUACCCUGAAUGUUAAACGCAUAAUUUAACAGUAUUCCCGAGAUAACAACACCAUUUCAAUAGAAAACUCCAGUGAGACACGGUAUUCCCAAUAAGUAGCGUUUCAAUCACCGCCCAAAUCACUUACUAACUCUGUGGUUCUCUCGAAUAGGAAAUACGUGAAAGAGAAGAUGAUGAUAUUAGGAAACAAAGAAAUAUGACAAGAGAUUUUCUCCGAAUACUUGUUUUUAUUAUCGUGCAAUAACGGAAAUGAAUUCUAGGGUAACUUAAGCAACAUAUAUAUGUUUACAAGAUAAGAAGGUGCUAUUUGAAGAGAGUGCUUUUAAGGAAAAUGGAAGUAGAUGUAACUUCCUACGAAAAAAAUUUUAACAACCGAAUAUUUUACAAUACGAAUUACAUAGUACGAAAAUUGUAAUAUCAGUAAUACCAAAUAAUAUUAGAACAUUACUUUUAAGUUCAACUUGAACUUACGAAAGAAGAAACAUUACAUAUUUCGUAUAUGGUAUUACGAUUAAAUUGAUAGAAAUUAAUGUUUAUAAUUACAAUAUUUAUUGUUUUUGAUAUUAUUAUUAAAAUAAUUUGAAAUUAUUAAUACAAAAAUUAUUAAUAAUAACGAAUUAUAUUAUAAAUAAUUACAAUUUUACGUGAAUAUUGCAAUUAAAGAAGAGAAACUUAAUUGUCAAUUUCAUUAGAAGAUUCCAAGUUUUAUGAAAUAAUUUUAUAAGUGCAAAAAGUCAUUCAAGUGCAAAAAAUAAAAAUAUGUCUACAGGAGAUGGGAAAAUAAAAUAAAAAUAUAGUUACAGGAGAGGGGAAAUGUUUCAUCCCCAAACUAGAAAAUUAAAAUCUAGGAAACUUGGUCUUCUAACGAAACGACGUGGGAUUAACUUAACCAGGGGAAGUCAUUCCUCCCGUGAUUUUCGAUCCAGUAAUACGCAAGUGUGUGUCAUACGCGAAAUAAUCCCUAGCUCUCAUACGUCCGAACGACGAGCUUUAUAAGCAAUAAAAACCGUUGAAACACCAUUAUCACUAGCCAUUCUAUUAUUCCAUCAAUAUACUUUAAAUUCAGCAGUAGCCAUUUGUAUAAGAUUUCUUAAAAAAUUUCAUUUGUAUAUUAUAGAAAUUACCGGAUAAUUACUCCAAUUUGGGUUUCAUUCCAUUUGGAAUAUUUGUGAUAAAUUCACUUAUAACUAAAAAUACUUUCUUCGACUG
Vespula vulgaris is the source of this 8021-nucleotide long non-coding RNA. RefSeq lists it as uncharacterized. The record is from RefSeq and is a predicted model, not a curated record. The transcript has 3 exons. NCBI's taxonomy places the organism in Eukaryota, Metazoa, Arthropoda, Insecta, Hymenoptera, Vespidae.